This 492-nucleotide ribosomal RNA is filed under the name uncultured bacterium. RNAcentral describes it as "partial 16S ribosomal RNA". It matches the Rfam family "Bacterial small subunit ribosomal RNA", at positions 29 to 507 of the family's 1533-position model. The record is from RNAcentral.
AGCGAACGCUGGCGGUAGGCCUAACACAUGCAAGUCGAACGGCCGCACAGUAAGUGCUUGCUCUUACGGGUGGCGAGUGUCGGACGGGUGAGUAAAACACUGGAAUCUACUUUUUCGUGGGGGAUAACGUAGGGAAACUUACGCUAACACCGCAUACGACCUACGGGUGGAAGCAGUGGAGCUGCGGAUCUUUGGCGCUUGACCGAGUCGGUGUCGGAUUAGCUAGUUGGCGGGGUAACGGCCCACCAAGGCGACGAUCCGUAGCCGGUCUGAGAGGAUGAUCGGCCACACUGGAACUGAGACACGGUCCAGACUCCUACGGGAGGCAGCAGUAGGGAAUAUUGGGCAAUGGGCGCAAGCCUGAUGCAGCAAUGCCGCGUGAGUGAAGAAGGCCUUCGGGUUGUAAAGCCCUGUUGUUGGGAAAGAAAAGCAGCAGGUUAAUACCUGGCUGUUCUGACGGUACCCAAAGAAUAAGCACCGGCUAACUACGUG